Oreochromis niloticus (Nile tilapia) is the source of this 638-nucleotide long non-coding RNA. RefSeq lists it as uncharacterized. The record is from RefSeq and is a predicted model, not a curated record. The transcript is spliced from 2 exons. Lineage: Eukaryota; Metazoa; Chordata; Actinopteri; Cichliformes; Cichlidae.
AACUUUUGGAAACGCUGUAUAAAAUGUAAACGGAAUACAAGGAUUUUAAAUCUCAUAAACUCGUAUUUUACUCACAAUAGAAGACAGAGGACAUAUACCUGAUAUCUGCUCUGAUGGCAGCAACACGUCUCAGAGAAGUUAGGAUGAGGCAACGAAAGGCCAGAAAAGUAAGAAACAGCAAGAGGAACAUUUGAUAAUUAUUGGCAACAGGGACGAGGCCGAUAACUGUGACCUGUACAUUAAAACAUCAGUGCACGGGCUCAGGAACACUUCAAGAAACCAGCGAGCACCUCGGCGUGCAGGUUACUGCUCCAUCACACAGAGAAGAAGCCACGUGUGACCACAAUGGAGAAACAGCACCACAUCCUCUGGACCAAAGCUCCUUAAAACAGAUCUGAGGUCAGACCCAUCCAAACAUGGAGGUCCUCAGACUGAAGAGGAGGAGGAGCAGAGUCCAGCCGCUGAACCGGCCUGCCUGCAGUCCAGACCUCUGACCAGCUGACAACAUCUGGAGCAUCAUGAAAGCAACAUGAGGACGAAGCAGAGCCAGGACUGCUGAGCAGCUGGAAUCCUCCAUCAGUCCAUCACAGACUGAUGUUACAGAGCAAACAUGGACCUGUCCUACUUUUACAGACGUG